UCAAACUUGGUCAUUUAGAGGAAGUAAAAGUCGUAACAAGGUCUCCGUUGGUGAACCAGCGGAGGGAUCAUUACAGAGUUGCAAAACUCCCAAACCAUUGUGAACGUUACCUUCUCGUUGCUUCGGCGGGCGGCCCGGGUCCUUCCCGGCGCCGGAUUCACGAACCACACCUCCGAAAAGAACGAUCCGGCGGACGCAGCUCCGCCUGAGACCAGUAACAACUUUCAACAACGGAUCUCUUGGCUCUCGCAUCGAUGAAGAACGCAGC
RNAcentral lists this unclassified non-coding RNA (268 nucleotides) under uncultured fungus. Its description in RNAcentral is "partial contains small subunit ribosomal RNA, internal transcribed spacer 1, and 5.8S ribosomal RNA". The stretch from base 1 to 73 matches the Rfam family "Eukaryotic small subunit ribosomal RNA", at positions 1759 to 1831 of the family's 1831-position model. The record is from RNAcentral. Lineage: Eukaryota; Fungi.